ACGGCCAUACCACAUUGAAAACACGGUUCUUGUCCGAUCACCGAAGUUAAGGAAUGUCGAGCCCGGUCAGUACUUGGGAGGGUGACCACUUGGGAACACCGGGUGCUGUAGGCU
Molecule: ribosomal RNA, 114 nt
Filed under: Cordylochernes scorpioides
Lineage: Eukaryota; Metazoa; Arthropoda; Arachnida; Pseudoscorpiones; Chernetidae
Source: RNAcentral